CAUGCAAGUCGAGCGGCAGCGGGAAAGUAGCUUGCUACUUUUGCCGGCGAGCGGCGGACGGGUGAGUAAUGCCUGGGAAAUUGCCCAGUCGAGGGGGAUAACACUUGGAAACGACUGCUAAUACCGCAUACCCCCUACGGGGGAAAGCAGGGGACCUUCGGGCCUUGCGCGAUUGGAUAUGCCCAGGUGGGAUUAGCUAGUUGGUGAGGUAAUGGCUCACCAAGGCGACGAUCCCUAGCUGGUCUGAGAGGAUGAUCAGCCACACUGGAACUGAGACACGGUCCAGACUCCUACGGGAGGCAGCAGUGGGGAAUAUUGCACAAUGGGGGAAACCCUGGUGCAGCCAUGCCGCGUGUGUGAAGAAGGCCUUCGGGUUGUAAAGCACUUUCAGCCAGGAGGAAAGGUUGGCGCCUAAUACGUGUCAACUGUGACGUUACU
RNAcentral lists this ribosomal RNA (438 nucleotides) under Aeromonas hydrophila. RNAcentral's name for it is "bacterial SSU rRNA". It matches the Rfam family "Bacterial small subunit ribosomal RNA", at positions 54 to 479 of the family's 1533-position model. RNAcentral also lists the same sequence under 1 other name. Lineage: Bacteria; Pseudomonadati; Pseudomonadota; Gammaproteobacteria; Aeromonadales; Aeromonadaceae. The record is from RNAcentral.